UUUUGGUGAGGUGCCUUCCGAGUUCCCUGGAACGGGACGCCAUAGAGGGUGAGAGCCCCGUCUGGUUGGACGCCGAACCUCUGUAAAGCUCCUUCGACGAGUCGAGUAGUUUGGGAAUGCUGCUCUAAAUGGGAGGUAUAUGUCUUCUAAAGCUAAAUACCGGCCAGAGACCGAUAGCGCACAAGUAGAGUGAUCGAAAGAUGAAAAGAACUUUGAAAAGAGAGUUAAACAGUACGUGAAAUUGUUGAAAGGGAAGCGCUUGUGACCAGACUUGGGCUUGGUUGAUCAUCCGGGGUUCUCCCCGGUGCACUCUUCCGGCCCAGGCCAGCAUCAGUUCGCCCUGGGGGACAAAGGCAUCGGGAACGUGGCUCUCUCCGGGGAGUGUUAUAGCCCGUUGCGUAAUACCCUGUGGCGG
Molecule: ribosomal RNA, 415 nt
Filed under: Fusarium vanettenii
Lineage: Eukaryota; Fungi; Ascomycota; Sordariomycetes; Hypocreales; Nectriaceae
Description: partial large subunit ribosomal RNA
Rfam family: Eukaryotic large subunit ribosomal RNA
Source: RNAcentral